RNAcentral lists this ribosomal RNA (415 nucleotides) under Rhizobium leguminosarum. RNAcentral's name for it is "bacterial SSU rRNA". It matches the Rfam family "Bacterial small subunit ribosomal RNA", at positions 10 to 455 of the family's 1533-position model. The record is from RNAcentral. Lineage: Bacteria; Pseudomonadati; Pseudomonadota; Alphaproteobacteria; Hyphomicrobiales; Rhizobiaceae.
AGUUUGAUCCUGGCUCAGAACGAACGCUGGCGGCAGGCUUAACACAUGCAAGUCGAGCGCCCCGCAAGGGGAGCGGCAGACGGGUGAGUAACGCGUGGGAAUCUACCCUUGACUACGGAAUAACGCAGGGAAACUUGUGCUAAUACCGUAUGUGUCCUUCGGGAGAAAGAUUUAUCGGUCAAGGAUGAGCCCGCGUUGGAUUAGCUAGUUGGUGGGGUAAAGGCCUACCAAGGCGACGAUCCAUAGCUGGUCUGAGAGGAUGAUCAGCCACAUUGGGACUGAGACACGGCCCAAACUCCUACGGGAGGCAGCAGUGGGGAAUAUUGGACAAUGGGCGCAAGCCUGAUCCAGCCAUGCCGCGUGAGUGAUGAAGGCCCUAGGGUUGUAAAGCUCUUUCACCGGAGAAGAUAAUGAC